CAUGAAAUAAAAAAAAGUUACAUAAAAAGUUAAAAAUAUCCCUAGAUGUUCUAGCACAAUAUACUAUCCACAUAAACACCAACAGAUUUAACUAUACCCAGAACUCUACCUAUCCAAACUUUUACCCCGUAUCUGUCUACCACAAGGAAAACCAGUUUCACAGCAGGUGGAUGUAAUGCAGUUGACAUGAUUUCCUGCAAAAGGAAUAAAGAAUCGGGUGAGAGGGUAAACUACAGGAAUGCUAUCUUUUGUGACUUAUUGUAGGUUAUAUCUAAAACUUGCAUUUGAUUACUAGCAUGAGAUGCAUAGCAGAAAUUAUGAUUCCAAAAUUCAAGAUAGAAACAACUAACAAGCCUUAGCUAAUUAAGUGGGUCAGAUCAGAAACAUAUGAAACUAGUACACGCAAACUGACACAAAUCAUCUUACCCAAAAAUAAAUUCACAUCACAACAAGUAGAUAUUGCCAAUAAAAUUAAAAAUAAAAACAUCAGACAGCAACAUGUUAUGCAAUUCACCAAUCUUUGACAAUUCUUCAUAAAUCAAUGAUAGUGGAUAUAUGAUAAAAAUGUAUGCAAUUCUACGUGAACCUAAUCAUGUCAAAAAAACACUUCCAUUCACAGCACAAGAAGAGUGUAGCACUGCAUAAAACAGAGUUAAAAAGGAACAAAAACCUUAAAAUUACUAUUAGCAAACAUCCAAACACAAUGGCUGCAUAUACUUCAACACAACUACAAAUAAUUCAAAGAUAAAAGGUGUCAUAAAACCAAAAUGCUUGGGGACAUGGCCUGGCAAAAGGAUGCCACACCAGAAAUGUGAGGUUACAGUUUUGACAAAACUACCAACAAAUUCGGACUUAGGGACUUUUCUCAGUCAUUGUGGUUUGUUGACAACUGAACAUGGAGCUGCUACUUGCC
RNAcentral lists this long non-coding RNA (913 nucleotides) under Trifolium pratense (red clover). RNAcentral's name for it is "long non-coding RNA (TPRA_LNC010151)". The record is from RNAcentral. Lineage: Eukaryota; Viridiplantae; Streptophyta; Magnoliopsida; Fabales; Fabaceae.